GACGAACGCUGGCGGCGCGCCUAACACAUGCAAGUCGAACGGAGUCACGAGGAGCUUGCUUUUCUUGACUUAGUGGCGAACGGGCGAGUAACGCGUGAGUAACCUGCCCUGGAGUGGGGGACAACAGUUGGAAACGACUGCUAAUACCGCAUAAGCCCACGGAUCCGCAUGGAUCUGCGGGAAAAGGAUUUAUUCGCUUCAGGAUGGACUCGCGUCCAAUUAGCUAGUUGGUGAGGUAACGGCCCACCAAGGCGACGAUUGGUAGCCGGACUGAGAGGUUGAACGGCCACAUUGGGACUGAGACACGGCCCAGACUCCUACGGGAGGCAGCAGUGGGGGAUAUUGCACAAUGGGGGAAACCCUGAUGCAGCGACGCCGCGUGGAGGAAGAAGGUUUUCGGAUUGUAAACUCCUGUCGUUAGGGACGAUAAUGACGGUACCUAACAAGAAAGCACCGGCUAACUACGU
RNAcentral lists this ribosomal RNA (467 nucleotides) under uncultured bacterium. RNAcentral's name for it is "partial 16S ribosomal RNA". It matches the Rfam family "Bacterial small subunit ribosomal RNA", at positions 28 to 506 of the family's 1533-position model. The record is from RNAcentral.